UACGUAGGGCGCAAGCGUUGUCCGGAAUUAUUGGGCGUAAAGAGCUCGUAGGCGGUUUGUUGCGUCGGCUGUGAAAUCCCGAGGCUCAACCUCGGGUCUGCAGUCGAUACGAGCAAACUAGAGUGUUGCAGGGGAGACUGGAAUUCCUGGUGUAGCGGUGAAAUGCGCAGAUAUCAGGAGGAACACCGGUGGCGAAGGCGGGUCUCUGGGAAGGUACCGAGCUGAGGAGCGAAAGCGUGGGGAGCGAACAG
This 251-nucleotide ribosomal RNA is filed under the name uncultured bacterium. Its description in RNAcentral is "partial 16S ribosomal RNA". It matches the Rfam family "Bacterial small subunit ribosomal RNA", at positions 524 to 775 of the family's 1533-position model. The record is from RNAcentral.